This 504-nucleotide ribosomal RNA is filed under the name uncultured bacterium. RNAcentral describes it as "bacterial SSU rRNA". It matches the Rfam family "Bacterial small subunit ribosomal RNA", at positions 8 to 507 of the family's 1533-position model. The record is from RNAcentral.
AGAGUUUGAUCAUGGCUCAGAUUGAACGCUGGCGGCAUGCCUUACACAUGCAAGUCGAACGGCAGCACGGGGGCAACCCUGGUGGCGAGUGGCGGACGGGUGAGUAAAGCAUCGGAACGUAUCCUGGAGUGGGGGAUAACGUAGCGAAAGUUACGCUAAUACCGCAUAUUCUGUGAGCAGGAAAGCAGGGGAUCGCAAGACCUUGCGCUCUGGGAGCGGCCGAUGUCGGAUUAGCUAGUUGGUGGGGUAAAGGCCUACCAAGGCGACGAUCCGUAGCGGGUCUGAGAGGAUGAUCCGCCACACUGGGACUGAGACACGGCCCAGACUCCUACGGGAGGCAGCAGUGGGGAAUUUUGGACAAUGGGCGGAAGCCUGAUCCAGCCAUGCCGCGUGAGUGAAGAAGGCCUUCGGGUUGUAAAGCUCUUUCGGCGGGGAAGAAAUUGCACGGGUUAAUACCCUGUGUAGAUGACGGUACCCGAAUAAGAAGCACCGGCUAACUACGUG